AACGAACGCUGGCGGCAUGCCUAACACAUGCAAGUCGAACGAGACGCUCGGGUCUUGUGGCGCACGGGUGCGUAACGCGUGGGAACCUGCCCUUUGGUUCGGAAAAACCCCCCGAAAGGGGGGCUAAAACCGGUUAAUCUCUGCGGACCAAUGGUCUCGCGCGUUUGGGUGGGCCGGCGUUGGUUUAGCUAGUUGGUAAGGUAAAGGCCUACUAAGGGGUGGGCGCAUAGCUGGUCUGAGAGGAUGAGCAGCCACACUGGGACUGAGACGCAGCGCAGACUCCUACGGGAGGCAGCAGUGGGGGAUAUUGGAAAGUGGGCGAAGGCCUGAUGCAGCAAUGACGGGUGAGUGAUGAAGGCCGUGGGGUUGUAAGGCUCUUUUACCCGGGAUGAUAAUGACGGUACCGGGAGAGUAAGCCCCGGCUAACUCUGUG
This 433-nucleotide ribosomal RNA is filed under the name uncultured bacterium. RNAcentral's name for it is "partial 16S ribosomal RNA". It matches the Rfam family "Bacterial small subunit ribosomal RNA", at positions 28 to 507 of the family's 1533-position model. The record is from RNAcentral.